AGCGAACGCUGGCGGCAGGCCUAACACAUGCAAGUCGAGCGCCCAGCAAUGGGAGCGGCAGACGGGAUAGUAACACGUGGGAACGUGCCCUUUGGUUCGGAAUAACUCAGGGAAACUUGAGCUAAUACCGGAUAAGCCCUUCGGGGGAAAGAUUUAUUGCCAUUGGAGCGGCCCGCGUCGGAUUAGCUAGUUGGUGAGGUAAUGGCGCACCAAGGCGACGAUCCGUAGCUGGUCUGAGAGGAUGACCAGGAUCACUGGGACUGAGACACGGCCCAGACUCCUACGGGAGGCAGCAGUGGGGAAUAUUGGACAAUGGGCGCAAGCCUGAUCCAGCCAUGCCGCGUGGAUGAUGAAGGCCCUAGGGUUGUAAAGUCCUUUUAACGGGGAAGAUAACGACGGUACCCGUAGAAUAAGCCCCGGCUAACUUCGUGCCAGCCGCCGCCGUAA
Molecule: ribosomal RNA, 447 nt
Filed under: uncultured bacterium
Lineage: Bacteria
Description: partial 16S ribosomal RNA
Rfam family: Bacterial small subunit ribosomal RNA
Source: RNAcentral